CCCCCAGGUGCCCAGCCCCUUCCCCAGCAUAUGGGAACAGCGUGGUGUACAUUUGUUGUCAAGAACCGGAUGCAGACUCUGAGAGAGAGGCCAUGACAAGGUGCGGGGAUGGGGCAUAAGCAGAGAAAAGACAGGCAUGAGAAGGGGCCAGAAACCCAGAGAGGGAGAAGGUAGAUGCGGGGAAGGUGAGGUGGGAGGUGUUGGGGGAGGGACACCAGAGACCCAGAGAGAGGACAGAGACCCAGAGAAGGGAGGACCAGAGACAGAGGGCCAGGAAGAGGGGACAGAGAUGGCAAAGCUUAGCAGGCAGUGAGGUCAGAGUGUCUGUGAGGUCGGCUGCUGUCCAGGGCUGGCCUGGGGCCCCGGGGCCCAGAGUAGGUGGGUGCAAGUAGAUCAGGAGUCCCUGCGGGUCCCCCAGCCUGAGCCAUGGAGACCUGGGAGGAACUACCCAACGUGUCCUCGGUGCCCACAAAUCCCAAGGCCCCUCAGGUACUGGUGUGUGUCUGAGUGGGGCAGAUGAGGGCGACAGGGGCCCAGAUAGACGAGAAAGCCAUCUCGAGGGUGUAGAGGGAGGGGGCGGGGCUCCACCUCUGGAACUUCCUCUUUCUCGGUGUUCUUCCUUUCUCCCUCCCCCUCUCUCACAGCCUCUUUCUGCCCUUCUCCUCCACUGCUAACACCUCUUCUGUUCGGUCCCUCCCCUCUGGCUGCCCACCCCUCUAGGCGAAGAUGUCGGCCCAGGACAGCUGCCUCAGCCUCAUCAAGUACCUCCUCUUCGUUUUCAACCUCUUCUUCUUCGUGAGUUGCCACAUGGCUACCCAGCCCAGGCCCCAGCCCCUGCCACAGCCACCUGACCUGAUAUCCCCCCCUCCUUUGCCCACCGCCAUAUUCUCAUCUCCUCCCUCCAGGUCCUAGGCAGCCUUAUUUUCUGCUUUGGCAUCUGGAUACUCAUUGACAAGACCAGCUUCGUGUCCUUUGUAGGUGAGGGGGCCAGGGCUCCUGGGAGGGGCCUCCUGGAGCAAGUGUGGCCCGGUCUGCCCCUAAGUGACAUCCCGGGGUCUCCCUUGUCCCAGACUCUGCUUCACAGCCUGCCCGCUGCUCUUAGUCUCAGUGCCUUCCUCUGGCAAAUGAGUUGUGCAUAUGAAUACUAAUAAAAAUGAUAAUAGCCAUUUCUCAGGCACUUCCUACGUGUUAGAUGUAGUGCAGAUCCUUAUCAGAUCCUCCCACAAACCUUCCCCUCUCUUGAGGUUCAGGGAGGGGACGUCACUUACUGGCUGUCACGCAGCAAGGAAAUGGAAGAGCUGAUAUAACAAUAAUAAUAAUAAUAAUAAUAGUAGGAAAAUAAUAAUGGAGUAAUAGUCGAAAUACUGAUAGCUCACGUUUAAUAAGUGUGUGCCCUGUACUGAGGACUGCGUUGAGCGCAUGCCUCCCAUGUGUCCCUGAAAAUAGCACUCAGAAAUAGAUAUCAUGCACCCCUACCCCUUGGGAGGUCUAAGUGACAGAUGUACUGCCAAGUGAUGGGACUGAAACUUUUGGGGGUGAGGAGGGGCUGAAGGAGGAAAGAGAGACUGAGAGCAAGAGGGAGAGACUAUGACCAGGGAGAAAGGAACAGAGAUCCAAAGAGAAGGGAACAGAGACCUAGAGAGGGUGUUGAGGGGACGGUGACUCAGGAGGAACAGAGUGCCAGAGAGAGGGGUAGAUAGCAUCCCAGAAGGAGAGGAACAGAGACCCAACAUGUGGCAGGGACAGACACGCAGAGAAAGAGCCCCCCCCCCCCAAUACUCCUCCCCAGUUGAGUGGCUGCAUGGGUGGGGAAUGGGGCUACCUGGGGCUGUGAGCACCGUGCCCAAUGUCACUGCCUCUCACCUCCCCCAGGCCUGUCCUUCAUGCCCCUGCAGAUCUGGUCCAAGGCCCUGGCCAUCUCAGGAAUUCUCACCAUGGGUCUUGCUCUCCUGGGCUGUGUGGGGGCCCUGAAGGAGCUCCGCUGCCUGCUGGGCCUGGUGAGUGACCUCC
This 2010-nucleotide long non-coding RNA is filed under the name Lynx pardinus (Iberian lynx). The record is from RNAcentral. Lineage: Eukaryota; Metazoa; Chordata; Mammalia; Carnivora; Felidae.